RNAcentral lists this ribosomal RNA (517 nucleotides) under uncultured bacterium. Its description in RNAcentral is "bacterial SSU rRNA". It matches the Rfam family "Bacterial small subunit ribosomal RNA", at positions 29 to 505 of the family's 1533-position model. The record is from RNAcentral.
ACGAACGCUGGCGGCGUGCCUAAUACAUGCAAGUCGAGCGAGCGGAACCCACAGAUUUACUUCGGUAAUGACGUUGGGAAAGCGAGCGGCGGAUGGGUGAGUAACACGUGGGGAACCUGCCCCUAAGUCUGGGAUACCGAUUGGAAACAGGUGCUAAUACCGGAUAAUAAAGCAGAUCGCAUGAUCAGCUUUUGAAAGGCGGCGUAUGCUGUCGCUAAGGGAUGGCCCCGCGGUGAAUUAGCUAGUUGGUAAGGUAACGGCUUACCAAGGCGACGAUGCCUAGCCGAGUUGAGAGACUGAUCGGCCACAUUGGGACUGAGACACGGCCCAAACUCCUACGGGAGGCAGCAGUAGUGGAAUCUUCCACAAUGGACGCUAGUCUGAUGGAGCAACGCCGCGUGAGUGAACAAGGUUUUCGGAUCGUAAAGCUCUGUUGCUGGUGAAAUAAGGAUAGAGGUAGUAACUGGCCUUUUAUUUUGACGGGUUAUCAACCCAGAAAAGUCAUCGGAUAAAUUAC